GGAGAGGUGGCCGAGUGGUUGAAGGCACUGGUCUUGAAAACCAGCAAUCCGAAAGGAUUCGCGAGUUCGAAUCUCGCCCUCUCCGCCA
This 88-nucleotide transfer RNA is filed under the name Candidatus Uhrbacteria bacterium. RNAcentral's name for it is "tRNA-Ser". It matches the Rfam family "tRNA". Rfam says of the family: Transfer RNA (tRNA) molecules are approximately 80 nucleotides in length. Their secondary structure includes four short double-helical elements and three loops (D, anti-codon, and T loops). Further hydrogen bonds mediate the characteristic L-shaped molecular structure. tRNAs have two regions of fundamental functional importance: the anti-codon, which is responsible for specific mRNA codon recognition, and the 3' end, to which the tRNAs corresponding amino acid is attached (by aminoacyl-tRNA synthetases). tRNAs cope with the degeneracy of the genetic code in two manners: having more than one tRNA (with a specific anti-codon) for a particular amino acid; and 'wobble' base-pairing, i.e. permitting non-standard base-pairing at the 3rd anti-codon position. Lineage: Bacteria; Candidatus Uhriibacteriota. The record is from RNAcentral.